Molecule: long non-coding RNA, 495 nt
Organism: Pongo pygmaeus (Bornean orangutan)
Lineage: Eukaryota; Metazoa; Chordata; Mammalia; Primates; Hominidae
Exons: 3
Source: RefSeq, a predicted model, not a curated record
GCGGCACCAAGAAAGGGAAGCUGUUUCAAGAGAUAGGAAUUGUCAGAAAAAGCCGGAGAAGGUGGUGUUAAAGGAAAACAUUGAGAAUGGGGAGUGAAGACGAGGGUUUUUCGUAGCAGAAGAUGGGUCUUCAAAAGCCAGGAGGCAGAGGAGAGGAAGGCUGUCGGUGAGAUAAAGCUGGAGAUUUCUGCUACGUGCAGCACAUACUGCUAAUCCUCUCUCAUCUCCGGGAAGUUUUCAAAAACCUGCUUCUGUAACUAGCGGACAGGUCUCCUGGAUCCAAGGUCACCUGCUGGGGAGAAAGAGAAGCCUUUGGAUAAACAUCACAAGUUUUCCUGGAACAUCGAUUUUAUUUAAGAGUUUUUUGGAAAGAAGGGAAUAAGAUUUUUAUCUUUGUAAGGUUUUUACAAAUGUUUUCAAAAGUGUAACAUGUAUAUAUGCUCAUUUUAGAAAAUUUGAUCAGUAUAAAAUAUUAAAGAAGAAAGUAAAAACUCA